RNAcentral lists this transfer RNA (66 nucleotides) under Berylmys berdmorei (Berdmore's Berylmys). Its description in RNAcentral is "tRNA-Val". Lineage: Eukaryota; Metazoa; Chordata; Mammalia; Rodentia; Muridae. The record is from RNAcentral.
CACAGUGUAGCUUAUUAAAAAGCAUCUGGCCAACACCCAGAAGAUUUCAUAAAAUGAACACUUUGA